Molecule: ribosomal RNA, 279 nt
Filed under: uncultured bacterium
Lineage: Bacteria
Description: partial 16S ribosomal RNA
Rfam family: Bacterial small subunit ribosomal RNA
Source: RNAcentral
UGCCAGCCGCCGUGGUAAUACGGAAGGUGCAAGCGUUAAUCGGAAUCACUGGGCGUAAAGCGCGCGUAGGCGGCUUGGUAAGUCAGAUGUGAAAGCCCCGGGCUCAACCUGGGAAUUGCAUUUGAUACUGUCAAGCUAGAGUGUGGGAGAGGGAAGUGGAAUUCCGCGUGUAGCGGUGAAAUGCGUAGAGAUGCGGAGGAACACCAGUGGCGAAGGCGACUUCCUGGACCAACACUGACGCUCAGGUGCGAAAGCGUGGGGAGCAAACAGGAUUAGAUA